Molecule: ribosomal RNA, 331 nt
Filed under: uncultured bacterium
Lineage: Bacteria
Description: bacterial SSU rRNA
Rfam family: Bacterial small subunit ribosomal RNA
Source: RNAcentral
GAUGAACGCUGGCGGCGUGCCUAAUACAUGCAAGUCGAACGCAUUGUGGUUGAAAUGAUAUGAAGAACUUGUUCAGAUUUGAUUUUCAACAUUGCAAUGAGUGGCGAACGGGUGAGUAACACGUGGGAAACCUACCUCUUAGCAGGGGAUAACAUUUGGAAACAAAUGCUAAUACCGUAUAAUAAUUAAAACCGCAUGGUUUUAGUUUAAAAGAAUGGUCUUGCUAUCACUAAGAGAUGGUCCCGCGGUGUAUUAGUUAGUUGGUGAGGUAAUGGCUCACCAAGACAAUGAUACAUAGCCGAGUUGAGAGACUGACCGGCCACAAUGGGAC